CAAGCAUGUCAUUUAAUUCUUCAACUAUACUGAUCCCCCACACUCGGCAAACACCCUUUAAAACCAAGAAGUAGAAAAAUGAAAGACCCACCCAAAACACCACUCUCACAGCACUACCAAACAAAACAAGAAACAGAUGCACCUGAUCCAAAAUAAUAACAGCUUCCAAUAGUAAACAAUCUCAAGUAGCUAAAUUUUAUAAGAAGCAAUCCCUUGAAACAAAAAUAAACCACCCAGCAGAGUACUAUAGCAACCCACACCCACAACCAAACCACCAAAAAAACCGCCUAGAAAAUAAGACAACCAGCAAUGGCAAAAAAUGCCACUGCACCUACUAAAAAGGCUAAAAAACCAAAAGAAAACCCAAUAAAACGAGGAAAAACACCACAAAAAUCACAAGAUUUGAUCCAAGAAAAUUCUAAAAAAAAAAUUAAAACUAAAGAAAAGGAAUAACAAGAAAUAAAGCAAAGAGAAACAAAUCAAGCAGUAAAUAACGAAACGAAAUAAAA
This 509-nucleotide long non-coding RNA is filed under the name Gossypium raimondii (Peruvian cotton). RNAcentral's name for it is "long non-coding RNA (GRAI_LNC008061)". Lineage: Eukaryota; Viridiplantae; Streptophyta; Magnoliopsida; Malvales; Malvaceae. The record is from RNAcentral.